UUGUGUUGGCAGUAAAUGUACAAAAAUUGGAAUGAUACAGAUAAGAUGAGCAUGGUCCCUGCACAAGGAUGACCGACGAAUUCGUGAAGCCUUCUGUAUUUUU
Molecule: small nuclear RNA, 103 nt
Organism: Dama dama (fallow deer)
Lineage: Eukaryota; Metazoa; Chordata; Mammalia; Artiodactyla; Cervidae
Source: RefSeq, a predicted model, not a curated record